Molecule: ribosomal RNA, 252 nt
Filed under: uncultured bacterium
Lineage: Bacteria
Description: partial 16S ribosomal RNA
Rfam family: Bacterial small subunit ribosomal RNA
Source: RNAcentral
UACGUAGGGCGCAAGCGUUGUCCGGAAUUAUUGGGCGUAAAGAGCUCGUAGGCGGCUUGUCACGUCGGGUGUGAAAGCCCGGGGCUUAACCCCGGGUCUGCAUUCGAUACGGGCUAGCUAGAGUGUGGUAGGGGAGAUCGAAUUCCUGGUGUAGCGGUGAAAUGCGCAGAUAUCAGGAGGAACACCGGUGGCGAAGGCGGAUCUCUGGGCCUUACCUGACGCUGAGGCGCGAAAGCAUGGGGAGCGAACAGG